AGUGAACGCUGGCGGUAGGCCUAACACAUGCAAGUCGAACGGCAGCACAGUAAGAGCUUGCUCUUACGGGUGGCGAGUGGCGGACGGGUGAGGAAUACAUCGGAAUCUACUUUUUCGUGGGGGAUAACGUAGGGAAACUUACGCUAAUACCGCAUACGACCUACGGGUGAAAGCAGGGGAUCUUCGGACCUUGCGCGAUUGAAUGAGCCGAUGUCGGAUUAGCUAGUUGGCGGGGUAAAGGCCCACCAAGGCGACGAUCCGUAGCUGGUCUGAGAGGAUGACCAGCCACACUGGAACUGAGCCGCGGUCCAGACUCCUACGGGAGGCAGCAGUGGGGAAUAUUGGACAAUGGGCGCAAGCCUGAUCCAGCCAUCCCGCGUGGGUGAAGAAGGCCUUCGGGUUGUAAAGCCCUUUUGUUGGGAAAGAAAAGCAGCAGGUUAAUACCCCGCUGUUCUGACGGUACCCAAAGAAUAAGCACCGGCUAACUUCGUG
This 492-nucleotide ribosomal RNA is filed under the name uncultured bacterium. RNAcentral's name for it is "partial 16S ribosomal RNA". It matches the Rfam family "Bacterial small subunit ribosomal RNA", at positions 29 to 507 of the family's 1533-position model. The record is from RNAcentral.